Molecule: unclassified non-coding RNA, 532 nt
Filed under: Bombus terrestris (buff-tailed bumblebee)
Lineage: Eukaryota; Metazoa; Arthropoda; Insecta; Hymenoptera; Apidae
Description: misc RNA ENSBTSG00005030921.1
Source: RNAcentral
CUGACUCUCUCAACUCUUAACUCUACUCUUCGGCUUCUCGACUAACUCUGACCUCUCGACUCACUCUCAUUUCUCGAUUAACCGCUCAACGCUUCUCGAUCAACAACUCUUUGAAUUCAAAUUGUCCCCCUCCAUUAGCGCUAUUUUUUCCUCAUUCUUUCCUGUUAACGUUCCACAAGGACUAGGUGACUUUAGUCACAUGGGCUUUUUUCUAUAUAAACUAAUAACCGAAGGACAGACGACAUUGUUUUGGUUAGUUUCUAACCAGGUUUUUUCCUCGCGAUACUACACUAAUAUGUAUGUAUAUCUCCAUACCAUUCCAUAAAGGAGAACCAUUCAAAACGUUCGAGUCAGACACUUGUAUUAUUCAGGUUCUAUUUGAGAUAUUCUAUUUGUGCUGCAAGAAAAAUACAAAGUCUGAGCGUCCAAGGCGGCCGCCUAUUCUUCGUCACCUUCAGCUACGUAUAAUCAGUACGUAUUGAACACUAAUAAAAGAAACACCAAUACCCUUGGUAGUCGAGGUUAUGCAUAC